This is a long non-coding RNA of Centruroides sculpturatus (bark scorpion), 1257 nucleotides long. RefSeq lists it as uncharacterized. The transcript is spliced from 2 exons. The record is from RefSeq and is a predicted model, not a curated record. Lineage: Eukaryota; Metazoa; Arthropoda; Arachnida; Scorpiones; Buthidae.
UGUUGUUUUCCAUGGCUCUGUUUGACGUUUGUAAAAUGAUUUUAAUUUCUAUUAACGAUCGAUUAUGUCGCGAAACUGAGGUUAAAUGCAGAAGACAACUAUAGUUCAUGAAGAUUAAUCAUGACUAGAUACAAGGUAUAACAGUUAAUAUUUUCUUGAGUUAUUAUUUUAAUUAAUGAUUCUUAAUCCUAAUAAUAAUUGAAAAUUUUUUAUUUAUUUUAAUAUUUCAGAAUAAUUCGCAGUAAUUUUGCAGGGAGUUCAAUGAAAAUAUCUUAUAAUAGAAGUCAAUUGUUUGAAACAAUUUACUUUAAAAAAGUGGCAAAUAUAUUGCUACAACAAAUUUUUCUCCAACAUUCCAUUCAAGAAUUAGGCAAUUUUGCCUGUUCCAGCUUCAAUGGUCACCUCAAUGGUAUUUGUUUGGAAAUAAGUAAUAUAAAACCUUCAAUCUUUUUCUAGCAAUUUCCUUUAAUUGAACUAACAUUUUCAGCUAUGUUUGAUGGCCUUUCUUUGGAAACUUUGGAACUUUCAAGUUGAAUGUUAUUUUUUUUUACAUGGACAAGGAUUUUUGUUUCACCCCUAUCUCUUAACCUGUCCAGCUUGUCCUGUCAGUUGCCUGCAUAUGCUACUGUUGUAGUCUCAGAAUUAUGCAAUCCUCUUUACCAAGCCAUAAGCCUUUGUCAAAGUACAUCAUGGGGAAGGCUAAUUGCUAUGACAAACUGAAACAUAAUUCAGUCAUAUUUUGAUAUGUCAUAGCAGUAUAACUAUACGAAAGUUAGAAAUUGGAGAAUUGGGCAAAAAUUCUUCACUUAUAAAAAAAGUUUUAUUUAUCUAGACAUAAUCUACAGGUUAAUGUUUUAUAAAUUAUUAUUAUUAAUUUAUUUUGGCUAAUUUGACUAACUUUUGUCAAUAAUUUUUAUUUUUUAAGUAUGUACUGUACAUUUUAGACAGUAUCAACAAAGUAAUCAGCUUAACACAAAUAAAUACAUUUAAGUACAUUUACUGUCACACAUUGUUUGAAACUAAUCUAUUUAUUUAUCAACUCAAACAAUGUAAGACAAUAAAUUAAUGUUAAUCAUUUAUCAAUAUAUCAUUAGACAAUGGAUAUAGAUAAUCAUUGCUCUAGAAAUGUAAUUUCAUGAAUUGAUGACUAACAAAUUUACUAAUAAACAUCUGUCAACAAACCAGAUGAUGACUUGAUAUUGCUGACUUUCAACUAUAGUGAGAAAAAUUGUGCAGUUGGUAUCUAGAGUGAGAAGA